AGAGUUUGAUCAUGGCUCAGAACGAACGCUGGCGGCGGGCCUCAUACAUGCAAGUCGAGCGCGAAAGUCCGCAAGGAUGAGUAAAGCGGCGCACGGGUGAGUAACACGUGGAUAAUCUACCCUUUGGAUUGGAAUAACCUGUCGAAAGACGGGCUAAUGCCAAGUAAGCUUACGAGUUCGUGAAGUUCUUGUAAGGAAAGAUGGUGCAAGCUAUCGCCGAAGGAUGAGUCUGCGUCCCAUUAGUUAGUUGGUGAGGUAAUGGCUUACCAAGACAAUGAUGGGUACCUGGUCUGAGAGGAUGACCAGGCACACUGGAACUGAAACACGGUCCAGACUCCUACGGGAGGCAGCAGUAGGGAAUAUUGCGCAAUGGACGAAAGUCUGACGCAGCCACGCCGCGUGAGUGAGGAAGGCCUUCGGGUUGUAAAGCUCUGUCAUUCGGGAAAAAUAGCCAUCCGGGGAAAGUUCGGGUGGUCUGAUGGUACCGAAGGAGGAAGCACCGGCAAACUCUGUGCCAGCAGCCGCGGUAAUACAGAGGGUGCAAGCGUUGUUCGGAAUUACUGGGCGUAAAGCGUGCGUAGUCGGUAUUGAGAGUCACGGGUGAAAUCCCCACGCUUAACGUGGGAACUGCCUGUGAGACCUCAGUACUAGAGUGUGAGAGGGGAUAGUGGAAUACCAAGUGUAGCGGUGAAAUGCGUAGAGAUUUGGUGGAACACCGGUGGCGAAGGCGGCUAUCUGGCUCACAACUGACGAUCAGGCACGAAAGCGUGGGGAGCAAACAGGAUUAGAUACCCUAGUAGUCC
This 803-nucleotide ribosomal RNA is filed under the name uncultured bacterium. RNAcentral's name for it is "bacterial SSU rRNA". It matches the Rfam family "Bacterial small subunit ribosomal RNA", at positions 8 to 796 of the family's 1533-position model. The record is from RNAcentral.